This 134-nucleotide non-coding RNA is filed under the name Leersia perrieri. Its description in RNAcentral is "rRNA SSU_rRNA_eukarya". It matches the Rfam family "Bacterial small subunit ribosomal RNA", at positions 1388 to 1520 of the family's 1533-position model. Lineage: Eukaryota; Viridiplantae; Streptophyta; Magnoliopsida; Poales; Poaceae. The record is from Rfam by way of RNAcentral.
CACCGCCUGUCACACUAUAGAAGCUGGCCAUGUUUGAAGUCAUUACCCUUAACCGUAAGGAGGGGGAUGCCUAAGGCUAGGCUUGCGACUGGAGUGAAGUCGUAACAAGGUAGCCGUACUGGAAGGUGCGGCUG